This 28-nucleotide non-coding RNA is filed under the name Rattus norvegicus (Norway rat). Lineage: Eukaryota; Metazoa; Chordata; Mammalia; Rodentia; Muridae. The record is from RNAcentral.
UCUCUUCAAUAGGUUUUGUUUAGUGGGG